UUUAUUUUGUAUCAACGAUAAGUGCGCAACGGAGCGUCAGCUGUGUGCGUGUCAAAAUCAGCUGAUUAUUCAAAUAGAACGAGCACGGAGUCGCAUCGGUCGGCGACCGCGCCCGCUCGCGCUACGUACAGGGGCCCCUCGGUUCUCAUCGCUCCAGUCACCUCGCAGCUAACUUGAUAUCAAUGUACCUACCUUCGCUUUGCGAACAUUAUGAGCCUUUUUGUUAUAGAGGAGCAUACGAAAUCAUUGAUGUGGAUGUCAUGUCCAAGACUGGAGUUACCUACACGUGGCUGGGAAACGAGACAAAAUGGCGUUCAGCGGCACGAGUGUUGGUUUGCGGGUGCGGCAUGCGGCGCGGGUGCGCUCACCUCUAGCAUCCACUCGGCGACGAGACGGCGCAUGUGAGGUGUGAUCUCGGUCUGCACAGUGCCGAAGUAGUUAGCGGUGACGGCAUAGCGCUCCUCGGUCCGCAGCAGGUUGUCGAGCACGCGGCGGCGCAGCAGCACCGGGUCGGGUGCAGCAGCUUGCGGCAGCCGCGGUGCGCCCUCGCCACUGCCGGGGCUGACGCGUUCCGCGCACAACAGCUCCAUGUUUAUCCGAACGGUCACGUACGCGUCGCGAAGGAUAUGAUUUGUUCUGCGCGGAGUGCUCGACAGCUGAUCGGUCGGGAGCGAGCGCCGGAGUGUUGCACGUAGUGUUGCGACAACGACGAGCGCCCGAGUCGCAGUGAGCGGCCGGUGCGAGACUCGCCCGCCGACCGAACAUAAUAAUAUGAUCGGAGCGGCGCGGCGCGGGGGCAGGGCGGUGCCAGUGAGGCCCGCACGCAGGUUUCUCCCAUUCGACGGCGUCCAAAUAAUAAUACAUAACAUAUUUCUUGCUCACUCACAUCUCACUCCAACUUCCAAGUCUCGUUUUUUUCUUUCUAUUGACCGCUCCAGGCUCAAUUACAUUAUGUAAUUAAAAUUAAACAAUGUCAUGAAAAUUUAUUGUAAAUGGUAGAAAUAGACCUACAGUUUGAAAAUCAAAAAGUACGAGAUCUUAUUCUUUAUUCAAUUCAAAAUUUAACAUUAAACUUAUUUAAGCUCUUCAAA
Bombyx mori (domestic silkworm) is the source of this 1091-nucleotide long non-coding RNA. RefSeq lists it as uncharacterized. The record is from RefSeq and is a predicted model, not a curated record. Lineage: Eukaryota; Metazoa; Arthropoda; Insecta; Lepidoptera; Bombycidae. The transcript is spliced from 2 exons.